AAGACCUGCCGGUCCUCCGCCGA
RNAcentral lists this non-coding RNA (23 nucleotides) under Arabidopsis thaliana (thale cress). The record is from RNAcentral. Lineage: Eukaryota; Viridiplantae; Streptophyta; Magnoliopsida; Brassicales; Brassicaceae.